This 494-nucleotide ribosomal RNA is filed under the name uncultured bacterium. Its description in RNAcentral is "partial 16S ribosomal RNA". It matches the Rfam family "Bacterial small subunit ribosomal RNA", at positions 28 to 507 of the family's 1533-position model. The record is from RNAcentral.
GACGAACGCUGGCGGCGUGCUUAACACAUGCAAGUCGAACGGUGAAGCGCCUUCCUUUUUGGUGGGUGUGGAUGAGUGGCGAACGGGUGAGUAACACGUGAGUAACCUGCCCCCUUCUUCUGGAUAACCGCAUGAAAGUGUGGCUAAUACGGGAUAUUCUGGGUCUGUCGCAUGAUGGGUCUGGGAAAGAUAUUGUUUCGGUGGGGGAUGGGCUCGCGGCCUAUCAGCUUGUUGGUGGGGUGAUGGCCUACCAAGGCGGUGACGGGUAGCCGGCCUGAGAGGGUGGACGGUCACACUGGGACGGAGACACGGCCCAGACUCCUACGGGAGGCAGCAGUGGGGAAUAUUGCACAAUGGGCGCAAGCCUGAUGCAGCGACGCCGCGUGAGGGAUGGAGGCCUUCGGGUUGUGAACCUCUUUCGCCAGUGAAGUAGGCCUGCCUCGUGUGUGGGUGGGUUGACGGUAGCUGGAUAAGAAGCGCCGGCUAACUACGUG